UACAGAGGGGGCGAGCGUUGUUCGGAAUUACUGGGCGUAAAGGGCGCGUAGGCGGCCUUCUAAGUCGAACGUGAAAUCCCCGGGCUCAACCCGGGAACUGCGUCCGAGACUGGCAGGCUUGAAUCCGGGAGAGGGAUGUGGAAUUCCAGGUGUAGCGGUGAAAUGCGUAGAUAUUAGGAAGAACACCAGUGGCGAAGGCGGCUCACUGGCCCGGUACUGACGCUCAUGUGCGAAAGCGUGGGGAGCAAACAGG
This 253-nucleotide ribosomal RNA is filed under the name uncultured bacterium. RNAcentral describes it as "partial 16S ribosomal RNA". It matches the Rfam family "Bacterial small subunit ribosomal RNA", at positions 524 to 776 of the family's 1533-position model. The record is from RNAcentral.